AUACGGAGGGUGCAAGCGUUGUUCGGAAUCACUGGGCGUAAAGGGCGCGCAGGCGGUUUGGUAAGUCAGAUGUGAAAGCCCACGGCUCAACCGUGGAAGUGCAUUUGAAACUGUCAGACUUGAGUACUAGAGGGGAAAGUGGAAUUCCCGGUGUAGAGGUGAAAUUCGUAGAUAUCGGGAGGAAUACCGGUGGCGAAGGCGACUUUCUGGCUAGAUACUGACGCUGAGGCGCGAAAGCGUGGGGAGCAGACAGGAUUAGAAACCCUAGUAGUCC
Molecule: ribosomal RNA, 274 nt
Filed under: uncultured bacterium
Lineage: Bacteria
Description: partial 16S ribosomal RNA
Rfam family: Bacterial small subunit ribosomal RNA
Source: RNAcentral